GGGCCCGCACAAGCGGUGGAGUAUGUGGUUUAAUUCGAUGCAACGCGAAGAACCUUACCAGGGUUUGACAUCCUGCGAAUCAUCGAUUGGGAAACAGGAGACGUUGCCGAUUCGGGAACGCAGUGACAGGUGGUGCAUGGCUGUCGUCAGCUCGUGUCGUGAGAUGUUGGGUUAAGUCCCGCAACGAGCGCAACCCACGUCUUUAGUUGCCAGCAUUUAGUUGGGCACUCUAGAGAGACUGCCGGUGAUAAACCGGAGAAGGUGUGGAUGACGUCAAGUCAUCAUGCCCCUUACAUCUGGGCUACACACGUACUACAAUGCUACGGACAAAGGGCAGCAAGUUCGCGAGGACAAGCAAAUCCCAUAAACGUGGCUC
RNAcentral lists this ribosomal RNA (376 nucleotides) under uncultured bacterium. Its description in RNAcentral is "bacterial SSU rRNA". It matches the Rfam family "Bacterial small subunit ribosomal RNA", at positions 917 to 1289 of the family's 1533-position model. The record is from RNAcentral.